RNAcentral lists this small nucleolar RNA (200 nucleotides) under Lodderomyces parapsilosis CDC317. RNAcentral describes it as "Candida parapsilosis CDC317 Small nucleolar RNA snR32". It matches the Rfam family "Small nucleolar RNA snR32". Lineage: Eukaryota; Fungi; Ascomycota; Pichiomycetes; Serinales; Debaryomycetaceae. The record is from Rfam by way of RNAcentral.
AACAUCAAUCGCGGAUUCACCCUUUGUAUCAAAGAGUUGACGGUUUAGCUCUUUUUUCUAGAUCGAUGAUUUGUCAACUUUUGAAGGAUUUACAAGUGAAUAAAAAAGCGUAGAUAAACCUUUAAUGGAGCACGUUUCUGGGCGCCUGAUGUUGACUAUAUUUUAAAAUGGGACAUUGGGAAUCAGUUGUGACUACAAUU